Long non-coding RNA from Thamnophis elegans (Western terrestrial garter snake), 625 nucleotides. RefSeq lists it as uncharacterized. Lineage: Eukaryota; Metazoa; Chordata; Lepidosauria; Squamata; Natricidae. The transcript is spliced from 4 exons. The record is from RefSeq and is a predicted model, not a curated record.
GCAAAUUAACCUACGAUAUCUUUCUUGGUCUUCAAACUACUACUGUAGUUUGAAGUGCUUGUUUCCAAUUUAAAAAGUCGAACUUAUUACUUAUAUCAAACUUCUUUCCUCCUAAAAACAGCCUCUCCAGUUCAGCGUCUCCCAAACCCACCAAGCGAAAAAUGAGCUGAGAAAACAACCCGAGAAAUCUAAUGCAAUUCAUAAAGAGCGCAGAAGACAGUUGCAAAUGCAACCUAAGGAAAUGACUUUCUUGUGGCUGAUCGCACAGUCAACCAAAUGUAUUACUAUUAUUAUGGGUCGUCGCCCUGACAGUCAGAUGUUGAGACUGGAUUUGGCGCUUUUAUUCACCUAGCGAUUUUAUCCCAGGGACCUGUUUGAUGGUAUUGAAAAAGAAGAAACCAGCAUGGUAUUAAAGGUGUCUCGAGAGGUUUCCUAGCAUUUGAGUUCUUCACCAAGGUCUCCACCCAAAAGGCAUUAGAAGUUGUGAGAAAUUCAUUACAAGUUUUUCAAAUGUAUGCCUGACAUCAUCUUGAAGGGCAGCAACCACAGCAAAAAAUAUCUCUGGGAAGAAAGUGCGAAUAUAAACAGCUGCCUUUGCGAUGGGGUUUGCCAUGAACACUUCCUG